GUUCCCGACCCAUGCGUUGAUUCACAGAUGAUGGCAUGGGGUGCGACCCC
This 50-nucleotide ribosomal RNA is filed under the name Porpax filiformis. Its description in RNAcentral is "Conchidium filiforme partial 26S ribosomal RNA". Lineage: Eukaryota; Viridiplantae; Streptophyta; Magnoliopsida; Asparagales; Orchidaceae. The record is from RNAcentral.